GAUGAAGAACGUAGCGAAAUGCGAUAAGUAAUGUGAAUUGCAGAAUUCAGUGAAUCAUCGAAUCUUUGAACGCACAUUGCGCCCCUUGGUAUUCCGAGGGGCAUGCCUGUUCGAGCGUCAUAUUAACCACUCCCGCUUGCGGGGUCUCGGGCUUCGCCUCCGGGCGGGCCUUAAAAUCAGUGGCGGUGCCGUCGGGCUCUACGCGUAGUAAAUUUUCUCGCGAUAGGGUCCCGGUGGAUGCUUGCCAACAACCCCCAACUUCUUAAGGUUGACCUCGGAUCAGGUAGGGAUACCCGCUGAACUUAAGCAUAUCAAUAAGCGGAGGA
Molecule: unclassified non-coding RNA, 326 nt
Filed under: soil metagenome
Description: partial contains 5.8S ribosomal RNA, internal transcribed spacer 2, and large subunit ribosomal RNA
Rfam family: 5.8S ribosomal RNA (bases 1-120)
Source: RNAcentral